AUGGGCAGGUUGAAGGUUGGGUAACACUAACUGGAGGACCGAACCGACUAAUGUUGAAAAAUUAGCGGAUGACUUGUGGCUGGGGGUGAAAGGCCAAUCAAACCGGGAGAUAGCUGGUUCUCCCCGAAAGCUAUUUAGGUAGCGCCUCGUGAAUUCAUCUCCGGGGGUAGAGCACUGUUUCGGCAAGGGGGUCAUCCCGACUUACCAACCCGAUGCAAACUGCGAAUACCGGAGAAUGUUAUCACGGGAGACACACGGCGGGUGCUAACGUCCGUCGUGAAGAGGGAAACAACCCAGACCGCCAGCUAAGGUCCCAAAGUCAUGGUUAAGUGGGAAACGAUGUGGGAAGGCCCAGACAGCCAGGAUGUUGGCUUAGAAGCAGCCAUCAUUUAAAGAAAGCGUAAUAGCUCACUGGUCGAGUCGGCCUGCGCGGAAGAUGUAACGGGGCUAAACCAUGCACCGAAGCUGCGGCAGCGACACUAUGUGUUGUUGGGUAGGGGAGCGUUCUGUAAGCCUGUGAAGGUGGCCUGUGAGGGUUGCUGGAGGUAUCAGAAGUGCGAAUGCUGACAUAAGUAACGAUAAAGCGGGUGAAAAGCCCGCUCGCCGGAAGACCAAGGGUUCCUGUCCAACGUUAAUCGGGGCAGGGUGAGUCGACCCCUAAGGCGAGGCCGAAAGGCGUAGUCGAUGGGAAACAGGUUAAUAUUCCUGUACUUGGUGUUACUGCGAAGGGGGGACGGAGAAGGCUAUGUUGGCCGGGCGACGGUUGUCCCGGUUUAAGCGUGUAGGCUGGUUUUCCAGGCAAAUCCGGAAAACCAAGGCUGAGGCGUGAUGA
RNAcentral lists this ribosomal RNA (832 nucleotides) under Escherichia coli. RNAcentral describes it as "partial 23S ribosomal RNA". It matches the Rfam family "Bacterial large subunit ribosomal RNA", at positions 736 to 1569 of the family's 2925-position model. Lineage: Bacteria; Pseudomonadati; Pseudomonadota; Gammaproteobacteria; Enterobacterales; Enterobacteriaceae. The record is from RNAcentral.